Molecule: ribosomal RNA, 617 nt
Filed under: Triticum aestivum (bread wheat)
Lineage: Eukaryota; Viridiplantae; Streptophyta; Magnoliopsida; Poales; Poaceae
Description: partial small subunit ribosomal RNA
Source: RNAcentral
GGUAGCAAAUAAUGCGAAUUGGACUUUGUUCCAGCAAAUCAAAAAAUGCCGGUGGUAGCAAAAAAUGAAGCUCGCUCCAGCAAACUAAAAUAUCGGUGGUAGCAAAAAUUACAAAAUUAGGGGCUGGUUCAAGCAAACCCAAAAAAUCGAUGGUAGCAAAAACUUGUGAUGGUUCCAGCAAAAAAAAUAAACGGUAGUAACAAAAAUGCGAAAUUGGGCGAUGGAUGCAGCUUUGCCAGCCAUGGAUGUAGCUUUACCAGCCAUGGAUGUAACACCUCCGUCGAGCGGUUCCAGCACCUCACCCAACACUGACGACAGGGGAUGCAGCUUCCCCGGCAACGGAUGCAACACCUCUGCCAGCCGGUUCCAACACCUCCGCCAUGUCGUCACAGCGCCGCCGUCGACGGAUGCAUCUUCACCGGCGACGGAGGUAGCAUCUCCGUCAUGCCGUCGUAGCACCUCUGCUGGGCGGUUCCAGCACCUCCGUCCACUCCUCAUGGUGGGCGCCAUCUCCAGCCUCGCGGGAUACAGGCGUCCGACCUCAUCGAGGGGGAGGAUGAGGAGAUUGAUGGCCAUGGCUUUCUUGGCUUUGCAAGCAGUCCAUGGCCUCCCUUUGC